This 497-nucleotide ribosomal RNA is filed under the name uncultured bacterium. Its description in RNAcentral is "partial 16S ribosomal RNA". It matches the Rfam family "Bacterial small subunit ribosomal RNA", at positions 28 to 507 of the family's 1533-position model. The record is from RNAcentral.
GAUGAACGCUGGCGGCGUGCCUAAUACAUGCAAGUCGAGCGAACAGACGAGGAGCUUGCUCCUCUGACGUUAGCGGCGGACGGGUGAGUAACACGUGGAUAACCUACCUAUAAGACUGGGAUAACUUCGGGACACCGGCGCUAAUACCGGAUAAUAUAUUGAACCGCAUGGUUCAAUAGUGAAAGACGGUUUUGCUGUCACUUAUAGAUGGAUCCGCGCCGCAUUAGCUAGUUGGUAAGGUAACGGCUUACCAAGGCAACGAUGCGUAGCCGACCGGAGAGGGUGAUCGGCCACACUGGAACUGAGACACGGUCCAGACUCCUACGGGAGGCAGCAGUAGGGAAUCUUCCGCAAUGGGCGAAAGCUUGACGGAGCAACGCCGCGUGAGUGAUGAAGGUCUUCGGAUCGUAAAACUCUGUUAUUAGGGAAGAACAAAUGUGUAAGUAACUAUGCACGUCUUGACGGUACCUAAUCAGAAAGCCACGGCUAACUACGUG